CCCCCCAGAUGGAACGACCCCACGACCUGCGAACAGUCCCCUCACUCCAGGCACACACCCGAGAGAAACGAAGACACCUGCCCACACAAGUUCACGGGGCCAGAACGAGCAGGACAGGCCGAGUCGCAGAGACAGUACUGGCGCCUGGAGGAGGGGACGGGGAGUGACGGCUGACGGGGACGAGCACCCACUCAGGAGUCGGGGCCUGUGCAUGUCGGCCCUGCUGCUGGAACGCCCACCCCAGGUGGUUCAAAGGUCACCUCUCCGCUCCAAGCCUCCGCCCUGUCAUGGAGG
Molecule: long non-coding RNA, 294 nt
Organism: Chlorocebus sabaeus (green monkey)
Lineage: Eukaryota; Metazoa; Chordata; Mammalia; Primates; Cercopithecidae
Source: RefSeq, a predicted model, not a curated record